Molecule: ribosomal RNA, 484 nt
Filed under: uncultured bacterium
Lineage: Bacteria
Description: partial 16S ribosomal RNA
Rfam family: Bacterial small subunit ribosomal RNA
Source: RNAcentral
AGUGAACGCUGGCGGCAGGCCUAACACAUGCAAGUCGAGCGGCAGCGCGGGGGCAACCCUGGCGGCGAGCGGCGGACGGGUGAGGAAUUCGUCGGAAUCUGCCUUUUUGUGGGGGAUAACGUAGGGAAACUUACGCUAAUACCGCAUACGUCCUACGGGAGAAAGUGGGGGACCGCAAGGCCUCACGCAGAAAGAUGAGCCGACGACCGAUUAGCUAGUUGGUGGGGUAAAGGCCCACCAAGGCGACGAUCGGUAGCUGGUCUGAGAGGAUGAUCAGCCACACUGGGACUGAGACACGGCCCAGACUCCUACGGGAGGCAGCAGUGGGGAAUAUUGGACAAUGGGCGCAAGCCUGAUCCAGCCAUGCCGCGUGUGUUAAGAAGGCCUUCGGGUUGUAAAGCACUUUUGUCCGGAAAGAAAUCCCUGGAGCUAAUACCUUCGGGGGAUGACGGUACCGGAAGAAUAAGCACCGGCUAACUUCGUG